RNAcentral lists this ribosomal RNA (254 nucleotides) under uncultured bacterium. RNAcentral describes it as "partial 16S ribosomal RNA". It matches the Rfam family "Bacterial small subunit ribosomal RNA", at positions 524 to 776 of the family's 1533-position model. The record is from RNAcentral.
UACGAAGGGGGCUAGCGUUGCUCGGAAUCACUGGGCGUAAAGCGCACGUAGGCGGGCUCUUAAGUCGGUGGUGAAAUCCUGGAGCUCAACUCCAGAACUGCCUCCGAUACUGAGAGUCUUCGAGUCCGGGAGAGGUGAGUGGAACUGCGAGUGUAGAGGUGAAAUUCGUAGAUAUUCGCAAGAACACCAGUGGCGAAGGCGGCUCACUGGCCCGGUACUGACGCUGAGGUGCGACAGCAUGGGGAGCAAACAGG